RNAcentral lists this transfer RNA (72 nucleotides) under Stegodyphus mimosarum. It matches the Rfam family "tRNA". Rfam says of the family: Transfer RNA (tRNA) molecules are approximately 80 nucleotides in length. Their secondary structure includes four short double-helical elements and three loops (D, anti-codon, and T loops). Further hydrogen bonds mediate the characteristic L-shaped molecular structure. tRNAs have two regions of fundamental functional importance: the anti-codon, which is responsible for specific mRNA codon recognition, and the 3' end, to which the tRNAs corresponding amino acid is attached (by aminoacyl-tRNA synthetases). tRNAs cope with the degeneracy of the genetic code in two manners: having more than one tRNA (with a specific anti-codon) for a particular amino acid; and 'wobble' base-pairing, i.e. permitting non-standard base-pairing at the 3rd anti-codon position. Lineage: Eukaryota; Metazoa; Arthropoda; Arachnida; Araneae; Eresidae. The record is from Rfam by way of RNAcentral.
GCCUUUGUGGUGUAAUUGGAAGCAUACCCGACUUGUAUUCGGGAGGCCCAGGUUCGAGUCCCGACGAAGGCA